AUGGGCCCUGGAGAGGGCAAGAAAGCACCCAGGGCCACAGUCCUGGACCCUGGAGCCCCAUCAGGAAGCAACUCCUGGAGCCUGUGGGACAGGUUUCUGCUCUGGCUCAGCUCCCGGGGAGCAGGCCCCAGGUGCUGGCACAACGGGCUGUGGCAUGAGCCACUGCCAGAACAGUAUAUCUUCGGUGAAGGGACCCAGCUCAUCGUCAUUGGCCAGCCCAUUUCUACACCCGUGGUCACUCUGUUCCCACCCUCCUCCGAGGAGCUCAAGGCACACCGGGCCACACUGGUGUGUCUGAUCAGUGACUUCUACCCUCGCACCCUGACGGUGACCUGGAAGGCGGACCACACCCCCAUCACACAGGGUGUGCAGACCACAGAGCCCUUGCAUCAGAACAACCACAAGUACAAGGCCAGUAGCUUCCUAAGCCUGUCCCCUGAACGCUGGAAGUCUCACAGCCAGUUCAGCUGCGAGAUCACGCACGAGGGGAACACCGUGAAGAAGACAGUGACCCCCGCAAAAUGUCAUUAG
Non-coding RNA from Suncus etruscus (white-toothed pygmy shrew), 531 nucleotides. NCBI's taxonomy places the organism in Eukaryota, Metazoa, Chordata, Mammalia, Eulipotyphla, Soricidae. The record is from the annotation of a RefSeq genome assembly.